GUCCACGCCCUAAACGAUGUCAACUGGUUGUUGGGUCUUCACCGACUCAGUAACGAAGCUAACGCGUGAAGUUGACCGCCUGGGGAGUACGGCCGCAAGGUUAAAACUCAAAGGAAUUGACGGGGACCCGCACAAGCGGUGGAUGAUGUGGUUUAAUUCGAUGCAACGCGAAAAACCUUACCCACCUUUGACAUGUACGGAAUCCUUUAGAGAUAGAGGAGUGCUCGAAAGAGAGCCGUAACACAGGUGCUGCAUGGCUGUCGU
This 264-nucleotide ribosomal RNA is filed under the name uncultured bacterium. RNAcentral's name for it is "partial 16S ribosomal RNA". It matches the Rfam family "Bacterial small subunit ribosomal RNA", at positions 793 to 1055 of the family's 1533-position model. The record is from RNAcentral.